This 497-nucleotide ribosomal RNA is filed under the name uncultured bacterium. Its description in RNAcentral is "partial 16S ribosomal RNA". It matches the Rfam family "Bacterial small subunit ribosomal RNA", at positions 28 to 507 of the family's 1533-position model. The record is from RNAcentral.
GAUGAACGCUGGCGGCGUGCCUAAUACAUGCAAGUCGAGCGAACAGACGCGGAGCUUGCUCCUUUGACGUUAGCGGCGGACGGGUGAGUAACACGUGGAUACCCUACCUAUAAGACUGGGAUAACUUCGGGAAACCGGCGCUAAUACCGGAUAAUAUAUUGAACCGCAUGGUUCAAUAGUGAAAGACGGUUUUGCUGUCACUUAUAGAUGGAUCCGCGCCGCAUUAGCUAGUUGGUAAGGUAACGGGUUACCAAGGCAACGAUGCGUAGCCGACCUGAGAGGGUGAUCGGCCACACUGGAACUGAGCCACGGUCCAGACUCCUACGGGAGGCAGCAGUAGGGAAUCUUCCGCAAUGGGCGAAAGCCUGACGGAGCAACGCCGCGUGAGUGAUGAAGGUCUUCGGAUCGUAAAACUCUGUUAUUAGGGAAGAACAAAUGUGUAAGUAACUAUGCACGUCUUGACGGUACCUAAUCAGAAAGCCACGGCUAACUACGUG